UUACCCCGGCUGCUGGCACGGAGUUAGCCGGUGCUUCUUCUGUGGCUAACGUCAAUCUUGUAGAGUAUUAAUCUACAAGCCUUCCCCACCACUGAAAGUGCUUUACAACCCGAAGGCCUUCUUCACACACGCGGCAUGGCUGCAUCAGGGUUUCCCCCAUUGUGCAAUAUUCCCCACUGCUGCCUCCCGUAGGAGUCUGGGCCGUGUCUCAGUCCCAGUGUGGCUGAUCAUCCUCUCAGAACAGCUAGAGAUCGUCGCCUUGGUGGGCCUUUACCCUACCAACUAGCUAAUCUCACUUGGGCCUAUCUCUAGGUGCAAGGUCCGAAGAUCCCCUGCUUUGGUCCGUAGACAUUAUGCGGUAUUAGCCACAGUUUCCCGCGGUUAUCCCCCUCCUAAAGGCAAGUUCCCAAGCAUUACUCACCCGUCCGCCGCUCGCCGGCAAAGUAGCAAGCUACUCUCCGCUGCCGCUCGACUUGCAUGUGUUAGGCCUGCCGCCAGCGUUCAAUCUGAGCCAUGAUCAAACUC
RNAcentral lists this ribosomal RNA (525 nucleotides) under uncultured Gammaproteobacteria bacterium. RNAcentral's name for it is "partial 16S ribosomal RNA". The record is from RNAcentral. Lineage: Bacteria; Pseudomonadati; Pseudomonadota; Gammaproteobacteria.